GUCUACAGUGAUACCAUCCUGAACAGGCCUGAUCUUAUCUGAUCUUGGAAGCUAAGCAGGGUCGGGCCUGGCUAGUACUUGGAUGGGACACCACCUGGAAAUACCAGGUGCUGUAGGCU
Camelus dromedarius (Arabian camel) is the source of this 119-nucleotide ribosomal RNA. The record is from Ensembl. NCBI's taxonomy places the organism in Eukaryota, Metazoa, Chordata, Mammalia, Artiodactyla, Camelidae.